Molecule: long non-coding RNA, 236 nt
Filed under: Homo sapiens (human)
Lineage: Eukaryota; Metazoa; Chordata; Mammalia; Primates; Hominidae
Description: HSALNT0365537
Source: RNAcentral
CGAAAGAACUCGUUUUUUCUUUAAUACCAGGAUUCUUUGGGCGGUGAGUGCCAGAGGGCCCCAGUCACCCAGAACCCCCACCCCGAGUCAAAGCGCUGAAAUGAGCCCCGCGGCAGGACACGAGAUGACCAAGGUUUCACAUAAUAAUGGUAAUUCAGUUCUGCACAUUAGCUCUCCCUGCCAUCAUCCAUCCGGUUCAUAGAAGUGGACAGGAUAUGAGGAAGGCUUCAGUGAUC